UACUGGAGCGUCUGCAUCAUGUUACAUAUAAUUAGAAAAUACAAACAGCAUAAUAAGUUUCACCCAGUCAUCUUCAGCUUAACAAGAGAACAAAGCUCGCAUUGUCGUCUCAGCAUUACAAACCCAGAGAAUGGUGGCAGUACAGUAACAGUAACAGUACAGGAAGAAUGCUCAUUCUUAACUGGGAAAUGAAACAUUAGUCACCAUUUGAGGGAGGAUGGUCCAUUACAUAAAAAGAUUUCAGAUCCAAUCAAUUUAUCCGCAGACAGCCAAGCCCAAAUGAUCAAAUGGGCAGAUCAUUGUUGUUAUCAUGAAGGAUAAAACUACAGGGCUUGAACAUCUAAAAGCCAAAUUUUUCAGUUACAAUAUCAGUUAAGGUUAUUGUACAUUAAUUGGAUAAGAUAAGGAACUCCCAACGAAUUCUCAUUCACCCAUUGUAGGUUUUCUAUGAAUGUAGACAUGCUAAAAAAUGACUACCUAAUCUACAUAACUCUCAGUAUCAAGUCACUCACUGCUGCAAAUCCUGAAUGAAUUUCAUCAGGCUGUUUCUUAACUUCACCAUGGAAGAACUUUGACCAGAAUUUCCUCCAUAGGCUUAUCACAAAAUUUAUAUAAUAUUGUUUUUUUACUAUCGUACAUUAAGCUUUCCCUGAGAAAAAACAACAAACCUUGUUCUCUAGCAGGGAGGGAAACUUAAAAAUUGCCUCUAUCUUCAUCUUUCAUUAUUGUGUUU
Molecule: unclassified non-coding RNA, 733 nt
Filed under: Hevea brasiliensis (rubber tree)
Lineage: Eukaryota; Viridiplantae; Streptophyta; Magnoliopsida; Malpighiales; Euphorbiaceae
Source: RNAcentral